UCUUGACCUUGUAAGACCUUUUCUUGACCUUGUAAGACCCCG
Molecule: non-coding RNA, 42 nt
Filed under: Nicotiana tabacum (common tobacco)
Lineage: Eukaryota; Viridiplantae; Streptophyta; Magnoliopsida; Solanales; Solanaceae
Source: RNAcentral